ACUGGAACUACCGUAGUUGGCACAAAUAAAAAGAAGUGGAAUUUUUAAGGAAAUUGAGGUCAAGUAUCGACUUCAACAUGUUCGACUUUUGGAUUGAUGAUUUCAUAAAGAUUUAUUGCAAAUUUACUGGAGAUUUUAAUUCCAUUUGAAUUAGGAGUUAGUUGGUUUGAUGUUGAGAUUAUUACAUUUAGUUGGAUCUCAAUUUUACUUGAGAUAAAAAAGAUAAUCUGUUUUGACAA
This is a long non-coding RNA of Solanum tuberosum (potato), 239 nucleotides long. RefSeq lists it as uncharacterized. NCBI's taxonomy places the organism in Eukaryota, Viridiplantae, Streptophyta, Magnoliopsida, Solanales, Solanaceae. The transcript has 2 exons. The record is from RefSeq and is a predicted model, not a curated record.